This 47-nucleotide transfer RNA is filed under the name Mycobacterium tuberculosis. RNAcentral's name for it is "metB". The record is from RNAcentral. Lineage: Bacteria; Bacillati; Actinomycetota; Actinomycetes; Mycobacteriales; Mycobacteriaceae.
CCGGUAGCGGGGACAGGAUUCGAACCUGCGACCUCUGGGUUAUGAGC